Molecule: long non-coding RNA, 209 nt
Organism: Maniola jurtina (meadow brown)
Lineage: Eukaryota; Metazoa; Arthropoda; Insecta; Lepidoptera; Nymphalidae
Exons: 4
Source: RefSeq, a predicted model, not a curated record
GCUUAUGCCCGCGACUUCGUCCGCCGUAGACUACACAAAGUUCAAACCGCUAUUUUACCCUCACAGGGGUUGAGUUUCGAAAAAUCCUUUUAUAGCGAAUGUCUAAGUCAUAAUAGCUACCUGCAUGCCAAAUUGCAGGCCGGUCCGUCCAGUAAUUUAAGCUGUGCGUUGAUAGAUCAAUCAGGCAGUCACCUUUUCCUUAUAUGCCU